RNAcentral lists this non-coding RNA (26 nucleotides) under Cricetulus griseus (Chinese hamster). Lineage: Eukaryota; Metazoa; Chordata; Mammalia; Rodentia; Cricetidae. The record is from RNAcentral.
UAUUGGUGUAAAAGUUCUGGGACAGC